This 151-nucleotide ribosomal RNA is filed under the name Nephroma australe. RNAcentral's name for it is "5.8S ribosomal RNA". It matches the Rfam family "5.8S ribosomal RNA". Rfam says of the family: 5.8S ribosomal RNA (5.8S rRNA) is a component of the large subunit of the eukaryotic ribosome. Lineage: Eukaryota; Fungi; Ascomycota; Lecanoromycetes; Peltigerales; Nephromataceae. The record is from RNAcentral.
CAACAACGGAUCUCUUGGUUCUGGCAUCGAUGAAGAACGCAGCGAAAUGCGAUAAGUAAUGUGAAUUGCAGAAUCCAGUGAAUCAUCGAAUCUUUGAACGCACAUUGCGCCCUGAGGAAACUCCCGUGGGGCAUGCCUGGUCGAGCGUCAU